This 253-nucleotide ribosomal RNA is filed under the name uncultured bacterium. Its description in RNAcentral is "partial 16S ribosomal RNA". It matches the Rfam family "Bacterial small subunit ribosomal RNA", at positions 524 to 776 of the family's 1533-position model. The record is from RNAcentral.
UACGUAGGGGGCAAGCGUUGUCCGGAAUUAUUGGGCGUAAAGAGCUCGUAGGCGGUUUGUUGCGUCGGCUGUGAAAUCCCGAGGCUCAACCUCGGGUCUGCAGUCGAUACGAGCAAACUAGAGUGUUGCAGGGGAGACUGGAAUUCCUGGUGUAGCGGUGAAAUGCGCAGAUAUCAGGAGGAACACCGGUGGCGAAGGCGGGUCGCUGGGCCGAUACUGACGCUGAGGAGCGAAAGCGUGGGGAGCGAACAGG